Molecule: ribosomal RNA, 438 nt
Filed under: uncultured bacterium
Lineage: Bacteria
Description: bacterial SSU rRNA
Rfam family: Bacterial small subunit ribosomal RNA
Source: RNAcentral
AACGCGAAGAACCUUACCUGGGCUCGAAGCGUAGUGGACCGGGGUGGAAACAUCCCUUGCCCGCAAGGGCCUGCUACGGAGGUGCUGCAUGGCUGUCGUCAGCUCGUGUCGUGAGAUGUUGGGUUAAGUCCCGCAACGAGCGCAACCCUUACACUUAGUUGCUACCCGCAAGGGAGAACUCUAGGUGGACUGCUCCGGAUAACGGAGAGGAAGGUGGGGAUGACGUCAAGUCAGCACGGCCUUUAUGUCCAGGGCUACACACGUGUUACAAUGCGCGGCACAAACUGUUGCAAACCCGCGAGGGGGAGCUAAUCGGAAAAAACCGCGCUCAGUUCGGAUUGCAGUCUGCAACUCGACUGCAUGAAGCUGGAAUCGCUAGUAAUGGCGCAUCAGAUCGGCGCCGUGAAUACGUUCCCGGGCCUUGUACACACCGCAUAC